AAUCCAUAGGUUAAUGAGGCGAACCGGGGGAACUGAAACAUCUAAGUACCCCGAGGAAAAGAAAUCAACCGAGAUUCCCCCAGUAGCGGCGAGCGAACGGGGAGGAGCCCAGAGCCUGAAUCAGCAUGUGUGUUAGUGGAAGCGUCUGGAAAGGCGCGCGAUACAGGGUGACAGCCCCGUACACAAAAGCGCAUGUGCUGUGAGCUCGAUGAGUAGGGCGGGACACGUGGUAUCCUGUCUGAAUAUGGGGGGACCAUCCUCCAAGGCUAAAUACUCCUGACUGACCGAUAGUGAACCAGUACCGUGAGGGAAAGGCGAAAAGAACCCCGGCGAGGGGAGUGAAAAAGAACCUGAAACCGUGUACGUACAAGCAGUGGGAGCACCCUUUGGGUGUGACUGCGUACCUUUUGUAUAAUGGGUCAGCGACUUAUAUUCUGUAGCAAGGUUAACCGAAUAGGGGAGCCGGAGGGAAACCGAGUCUUAACCGGGCGUUAAGUUGCAGGGUAUAGACCCGAAACCCGGUGAUCUAGCCAUGGGCAGGUUGAAGGUUGGGUAACACUAACUGGAGGACCGAACCGACUAAUGUUGAAAAAUUAGCGGAUGACCUGUGGCUGGGGGUGAAAGGCCAAUCAAACCGGGAGAUAGCUGGUUCUCCCCGAAAGCUAUUUAGGUAGCGCCUCGUGAAUUCAUCUCCGGGGGUAGAGCACUGUUUCGGCUAGGGGGCCAUCCCGGCUUACCAACCCGAUGCAAACUGCGAAUACCGGAGAAUGUUAUCACGGGAGACACACGGCGGGUGCUAACGUCCGUCGUGAAGAGGGAAACAACCCAGACCGCCAGCUAAGGUCCCAAAGUCAUGGUUAAGUGGGAAACGAUGUGGGAAGGCCCAGACAGCCAGGAUGUUGGCUUAGAAGCAGCCAUCAUUUAAAGAAAGCGUAAUAGCUCACUGGUCGAGUCGGCCUGCGCGGAAGAUGUAACGGGGCUAAACCAUGCACCGAAGCUGCGGCAGCGACACUGUGUGUUGUUGGGUAGGGGAGCGUUCUGUAAGCCUGUGAAGGUGUGUCGUGAGGCAUGCUGGAGGUAUCAGAAGUGCGAAUGCUGACAUAAGUAACGAUAAAGCGGGUGAAAAGCCCGCUCGCCGGAAGACCAAGGGUUCCUGUCCAACGUUAAUCGGGGCAGGGUGAGUCGACCCCUAAGGCGAGGCCGAAAGGCGUAGUCGAUGGGAAACGGGUUAAUAUUCCCGUACUUGGUGUUACUGCGAAGGGGGGACGGAGAAGGCUAUGUUGGCCGGGCGACGGUUGUCCCGGUUUAAGCGUGUAGGUGUGUGUUCCAGGUAAAUCCGGUUCACUUUAACACUGAGGCGUGACGACGAGGCACUACGGUGCUGAAGCAACAAAUGCCCUGCUUCCAGGAAAAGCCUCUAAGCAUCAGGUAACAUCAAAUCGUACCCCAAACCGACACAGGUGGUCAGGUAGAGAAUACCAAGGCGCUUGAGAGAACUCGGGUGAAGGAACUAGGCAAAAUGGUGCCGUAACUUCGGGAGAAGGCACGCUGACACGUAGGUGAAGUGAUUUACUCAUGGAGCUGAAGUCAGUCGAAGAUACCAGCUGGCUGCAACUGUUUAUUAAAAACACAGCACUGUGCAAACACGAAAGUGGACGUAUACGGUGUGACGCCUGCCCGGUGCCGGAAGGUUAAUUGAUGGGGUCAGCGCAAGCGAAGCUCCUGAUCGAAGCCCCGGUAAACGGCGGCCGUAACUAUAACGGUCCUAAGGUAGCGAAAUUCCUUGUCGGGUAAGUUCCGACCUGCACGAAUGGCGUAAUGAUGGCCAGGCUGUCUCCACCCGAGACUCAGUGAAAUUGAACUCGCUGUGAAGAUGCAGUGUACCCGCGGCAAGACGGAAAGACCCCGUGAACCUUUACUAUAGCUUGACACUGAACAUUGAGCCUUGAUGUGUAGGAUAGGUGGGAGGCUUUGAAGUGUGGACGCCAGUCUGCAUGGAGCCGACCUUGAAAUACCACCCUUUAAUGUUUGAUGUUCUAACGUGGACCCGUUACCCGGGUUGCGGACAGUGUCUGGUGGGUAGUUUGACUGGGGCGGUCUCCUCCUAAAGAGUAACGGAGGAGCACGAAGGUUGGCUAAUCCUGGUCGGACAUCAGGAGGUUAGUGCAAUGGCAUAAGCCAGCUUGACUGCGAGCGUGACGGCGCGAGCAGGUGCGAAAGCAGGUCAUAGUGAUCCGGUGGUUCUGAAUGGAAGGGCCAUCGCUCAACGGAUAAAAGGUACUCCGGGGAUAACAGGCUGAUACCGCCCAAGAGUUCAUAUCGACGGCGGUGUUUGGCACCUCGAUGUCGGCUCAUCACAUCCUGGGGCUGAAGUAGGUCCCAAGGGUAUGGCUGUUCGCCAUUUAAAGUGGUACGCGAGCUGGGUUUAGAACGUCGUGAGACAGUUCGGUCCCUAUCUGCCGUGGGCGCUGGAGAACUGAGGGGGGCUGCUCCUAGUACGAGAGGACCGGAGUGGACGCAUCACUGGUGUUCGGGUUGUCAUGCCAAUGGCACUGCCCGGUAGCUAAAU
This 2569-nucleotide ribosomal RNA is filed under the name Salmonella enterica subsp. enterica serovar Enteritidis. Its description in RNAcentral is "partial 23S ribosomal RNA". It matches the Rfam family "Bacterial large subunit ribosomal RNA", at positions 161 to 2754 of the family's 2925-position model. Lineage: Bacteria; Pseudomonadati; Pseudomonadota; Gammaproteobacteria; Enterobacterales; Enterobacteriaceae. The record is from RNAcentral.